RNAcentral lists this ribosomal RNA (465 nucleotides) under uncultured bacterium. RNAcentral's name for it is "bacterial SSU rRNA". It matches the Rfam family "Bacterial small subunit ribosomal RNA", at positions 47 to 507 of the family's 1533-position model. The record is from RNAcentral.
CCUAACACAUGCAGGUCGAGCGGAUGAGUGGAGCUUGCUCCAUGAUUCAGCGGCGGACGGGUGAGUAAUGCCUAGGAAUCUGCCUGGUAGUGGGGGACAACGUUUCGAAAGGAACGCUAAUACCGCAUACGUCCUACGGGAGAAAGUGGGGGAUCUUCGGACCUCACGCUAUCAGAUGAGCCUAGGUCGGAUUAGCUAGUUGGUGAGGUAAAGGCUCACCAAGGCGACGAUCCGUAACUGGUCUGAGAGGAUGAUCAGUCACACUGGAACUGAGACACGGUCCAGACUCCUACGGGAGGCAGCAGUGGGGAAUAUUGGACAAUGGGCGAAAGCCUGAUCCAGCCAUGCCGCGUGUGUGAAGAAGGUCUUCGGAUUGUAAAGCACUUUAAGUUGGGAGGAAGGGCAGUAAGUUAAUACCUUGCUGUUUUGACGUUACCAACCGAAUAAGCACCGGCUAACUUCGUG